CAGGAUGAACGCUAGCUACAGGCUUAACACAUGCAAGUCAGGGCAGCAUGAAGUUGCUUGCAAACUUGAUGGCGACCGGCGCACGGGUGAGUAACGCGUAUCCAACCUGGCCCGCAGUAGGGAACAGCCCGGCGAAAGUCGGAUUAAUGCCCUAUGUCUUCCUUUGCAGGCAUCCAAUGAGGAAGAAAGAUUUAUCGCUGCGGGAUGGGGAUGCGUCUGAUUAGCUUGUCGGCGGGGUAACGGCCCACCGAGGCGACGAUCAGUAGGGGUUCUGAGAGGAAGGUCCCCCACACUGGUACUGAGACACGGACCAGACUCCUACGGGAGGCAGCAGUGAGGAAUAUUGGUCAAUGGGCGAGAGCCUGAACCAGCCAAGUAGCGUGCAGGAACCGACUGCCCUAUGGGUUGUAAACUGCUUUUAUGCGGGGAUAAACUUCAGCACGUGUGCUGUUUUGCAGGUACCGCAUGAAUAAGGACCGGCUAAUUCCGUGCCAGCCGCGGC
RNAcentral lists this ribosomal RNA (502 nucleotides) under uncultured bacterium. RNAcentral's name for it is "bacterial SSU rRNA". It matches the Rfam family "Bacterial small subunit ribosomal RNA", at positions 25 to 518 of the family's 1533-position model. The record is from RNAcentral.